RNAcentral lists this ribosomal RNA (763 nucleotides) under uncultured archaeon. RNAcentral's name for it is "bacterial SSU rRNA". It matches the Rfam family "Archaeal small subunit ribosomal RNA", at positions 539 to 1302 of the family's 1478-position model. The record is from RNAcentral.
CCUUGGGCAAAUCCUGUCGCUUAACGGCAGGAAUUCUGAGGAUACUGUCAGACUUGAGGUCGAGAGAGGUCGGAGGUACUCCUGGGGUAGCGGUGAAAUGCUAUAAUCCUGGGGGGACCACCAGUGGCGAAAGCGUCCGACCAGAGCGAGCCUGACGGUAAGGGACGAAAGCCAGGGGAGCGAAUGGGAUUAGAUACCCCGGUAGUCCUGGCCGUAAACGCUGUGGGCUAGGUGUUGCAUGCUCUACGAGGGCAUGCAGUGCCGAAGAGAAGUAGAUAAGCCUACCGCCUGGGAAGUACUAUCGCAAGAUAGAAACUUAAAGGAAUUGGCGGGGGAGCACCACAAGGGGUGAAGUCUGCGGUUUAAUUGGAUUCAACGCCGGAAAUCUCACUGGAGGCGACGGCAGAAUGACAGCCAAGCUGAUGACUUUGCUUGACGAGACGAGAGGAGGUGCAUGGCCGUCGUCAGCUCGUACCGUAAGGCGUCCUGUUAAGUCAGGCAACGAGCGAGACCCGUGCCCUUAUUUGUCAUCUGACCCCUGCGGGGGUCAAGACCCAUUAAGGGGACCGCUGCUGAUAAAGCGGAGGAAGGAGCGAGCAACGAUAGGUCAGUAUGCCCCGAAUCCUUCAGGCUACACGCGGACUGCAAUGGCUAGUACAAUGGGCCCCAACUCCGAAAGGAGAAGGAAAUCCCGAAAGCUAGUCUUAGUUCGGAUUGUGGGCUGUAAAUCGCCCACAUGAAGCCGGAAUCCCUAGUAAUCGCG